GGCACAUUCCACGGAGGCAGGAGAGGAGCGAUGUUGUCUUCUCGGCUGGCCUGCAGAUAACUUCUUCCAGCUAUGAGGAAUGUUGGAGUGUAGCAGGAAGGAGCGGGCUCUGACACUGCAGCCUGGCAUGGAGGCAGACCAAGGCUCUGGGCUGUUAGCAGACCACCGCCCAACAUGUGUGCAGGCCCCAGUCCCAGAAUUUCCACUACAGAGACAUCCUGAGCAAGCUUGUUGGCAAGCCUCUCCUGAUGGUCUGGGAGCCAGGUCUGCCCCAGGUGUUCUGCUGUUGAUGUGUGCUGCGGGGAGCCGGCUUAGAACACCUGAGAACAAAAGGAGAAAAACAUUAUGAAAUGUGAUUGCUACCUGGGCUAUGUCAGAUAGGAAGGAAACAAGUCUUUUGUAAGGAAGCAGGUCUCAGCCUGAAUCUCAGGGCCUCAGUAAAGAACGCCAGGAGAUUGGUGGUUUGAUGGGGAUGGUGGUGGUGAUGGCGGUGGUGGUCGUGGUGAUGGUGUGGGAGAGUCAAGGAUUUCUAAAUGAGAACACCUCAUGGAUGUGCUGCCCUUAGGGAUCAGCACCUGCCAAACCUGGGGCAGGGACAUGGUUCAUUCUGGCAUGGUCCAUUCAUUUUUGGGGCAAAUAUAAGAAGCAAGAUCAGAUCCGCCCACAUCAGGCUUGUGAGAAAACUCCAUGAGAGGCCCAGGGAACUGGGAGAUGUUCUGUAACUGAAACCUUUGUAGUUCUCUCUUAUCUUUGGAGAUACUGCUAGAGGAUGAAAUUAUAGAUAAGGUCAAGACCGGGUUCGGCUUCUUUACUGGAUAGUUUAACUCAAAUUGAAGGCUUUGGAGAGUUCUAAUUCUCCAUGUCAUGCUGAAGGCCAAAAAAAAAAAAAAAAAAGAAGUUGCAAGCCACCUCCCACCCAAAACUGAAGUUCUUUAUCACUCUUCUAAAGAGACACCAUGACAACAACACAGCAGGUAGUUUUUAUGCUCCUUCAGGUCCUUCUAACUUGAAUAACAACAUUGCUAGUUUAUCAUUCUCAACUAAGUCAGGCAAUACCUGCUAUGCAGGAUUUCUCAGCAAAAUGAUUUACUGCAAGAAACUACCAAUCGCCUGUCUCCCUUGGUGACUCUGGAGAGACUGACGAAGAUCAGAGAUAUGAAAGGAAAAUAUUUAUGAAAUAAAAUUAGAGUCCUUGCUCCUUCCACCUGGCACCACUCUUAUCUCUCUAGAGUAAUUCUAAGACUCUUAUUCAAGUUGAAAGCUCACCCUGCCUUGCCAUGAUGAAUAUUUGUAUCAUUGAAUAAUUUAUUUGUUACUCAUUUAGCUAACCAAUUUAUUUCAGGGGCAGACUAAGUGUACGGGGUGUGAACUAAUUUGCACGUACUUUUUGAUCAGAAUAAUAGUUUCAUUCUGCCACAAGUGACGCUAAACUCACACAAAGAAGCAUAGUAUGUAAGGCGCUUUGUAAAAGGAACUUGCACAUUUUCUGAUUAUUUUAGUACAUAGGGUUCAUGCUAUGCUAAGUC
RNAcentral lists this long non-coding RNA (1526 nucleotides) under Capra hircus (goat). RNAcentral describes it as "lncRNA (ENSCHIG00010027484.1)". The record is from RNAcentral. Lineage: Eukaryota; Metazoa; Chordata; Mammalia; Artiodactyla; Bovidae.